CUUGGAUUUCUAUGCUACCAAUCGCUGCUUGGAGGGUGUUGACUGCGUUCCAAAUCCAGUGGCUCUACUAGUAAGAGCCUUAUCCCCUUGUUGCUUCUGGAGUGAUUUAUACUCUCUCAAAUAAGAGGUCGAGUUGUAGUACUUAGGGAUCGAAUCCACAGGAAGCUAGGGUACACAAAAGAUCUAAUAGUUAUAUGAUUAAGCUAGGCUAAUAGGUUCAAAGCAGUAAAUAAAGAUAGCAAAGCAGUAAAUGAAGCAGUCAAUGAAGCAGUAAACAAGUUGAACAAGACAAUUGUUCAGCUUGACAGAGAGUUGUUUGAUGGAAGGAUGGUUUCGUAGAGACUAAAGCAUGAUAUUAUAGAACUCAACGAUUAGAAUAACCGAUCAUCUCUCGAUUUGUAGAUUAUCAAUUACUAGAUCCAAGACCUUCAACUCUCGAUGUCGAAUCUUAGAAAGCGUCGAUCGAUGUCUAUAUAGGAGCAUCGACCGAUACACCUUUCGUCGUGUCGAUCGACAUCUCAUUAGGAGAAUCGAUCGACAUGCUUCUAGUAAGCGUUUAGCGCGGGUUGAUUAAAUGUUCACUAGGGGUUCUAAAUCAACUCUCGUUUGUUUCUAUCAAUCCUAGCUCAGAGAAGACAAGUCAGAUAAAAACCCAAGCUUUCGCUUGUGCUUAAUAAAUCUAUGAUAAAGUUCAGGUUAAUUAUUCAAGAACAAGCAAUAAGAACAGACUCAAUGAUGAACACAACUUAGCAAUUCUAUAUUUGGGGCUAAUCACACAUAACCUAUCUAAACCCUAAACCUAACAGGUGGAUCUAUUCAGACACGAAGUUGUCAUAAAAAAUCAUAGAUGAAUAGAUAUAAAAAACAAAGGAGUUCCGGGAGGAAUCUGAAGGAUUUCCUCCUUUCUCUCCUAACCUAAGAGAAACAAUAGAAUAGAAAGCUUAGCCGUCAACAAUGACUUAGAAAACACAUAAAUAUGGUUUUAGGUCGUCCAAGGGUAUUCUGGUAAUUUGUGGUUGCUUAUGGGCUUCAGUCGGUCAUAAAAUAUACUCAGCCCAUAUUCUGGCAUCACUUUCGACCGACACCAAUGCUGUUUCAUCGAUCGACAGUCCUUCAUCUCUUCGAUAGCUUUCUCUCGCGAGGCAGACUGACCACUCUUCAGUAAAACGGGGAUAACUUCUGCUACAGGAUGCCGAUUGACCUCAAACCGGUGGCAUUGGAAAGCUAACUCAAAUCUAUAUCUUGUGUAAAAUGAUGGGCUCAAUCUUAUGGUGGGAAAGUCUCUAUCCAUAGCUAGACAUCUGACGCGUUUGUGCAGUUCUACAUCUUAAAAAGCUCCAAAAUCACCAUAUUUCUCCAGAACGUACCUGAACCUGUAAAUACUCUAAAAAGACUCUAAAACAUAAUAAUUAUAUCUUAAAACACUUAUAUACCAUGGCUGAAACUGGGUAAAAUCCGUGGUAUAUCACGUUACAAGAUGAAUCACGAUUCGUCAUUCAAUGCUCCUUAUCUCCCCUUCCUGGCGGUGGAACUCAAUCUAUAAAAAGGCUUAUGGGUUUCAUGGCCGAGAGUUUCAGUCCUUAACAAAAGAAGCUUUCAUCAUCAUCCUAGAUUCUUAUUAAUGUCAAUCAGUAAGUAAACUUUUCCUUUUUCGUUCUUCCCGUCCACAUGGAAUUUACAUUCGCUCAAUUUUUAAAAUUUUGCAUCUGUGUUUGACGAUUGAAAAUCAGAAUUCGAUUUCAAUUUAUGGAUCUGAAAUCAAGCGCUGGCGAUUGAAAAAUGUUUUAACAUAAAUUCACAAGUGAAGGCUUGGUGACAUUUACGUCCGCAGUUGUGCCUGAUGCUGACAAGUCAAAAACUGGAAGAAGCAGUCUAAUUCUCCUUUUACGAAGCUUCUUUCCGGUAUCCACAUGUGUGUCACUGGUUUCACAUGUUGUUUGCAAUCACAAAGGGUGUGGCUUGGUGUCCUUUAAAUUGAGCUUCUAUGGAGCGAAACAUUGAAUCCUUGAAGGUAAACUGGAACAUCUCUCUCUCUGGCUCUUGCAAGGUGAUGUUAGACUAAUUUGUGUUGUAUGGUAAAACUCCAGAUUAUUUUAUGUAUAGAAGAUAAUGAUCCCACGUUCUUUAUGGACGUGUGUCAAAUACGCAAUUCUUCAUCAUAACAAUACGCCGAGAAAGAAGACUUGGGAAGGAUCCAAAGAAAACAUGUUACGUAAGAAUCAGCGGUCUUGAAGAUAUACAUAGAUGAACAUCCCAUUUUUAUGAAUGUUGAUAUACUCUCUUAUGUGUACAUAAGCUCUAACAGAUGACUUCUCCGAAACAUUUUUUUAAAAAGGCUGGUGUAUGUAGUAGAAACCCUCCCAAAAGCAAAACAAGUGGUUGAGUUCACGGAUAAAAUUCAGCAACAAGCUUCAUCAAAUUUGGCAGACCUGGAAAAUGCCGGUCCAAACUCUCGGCUACGAUGCCAGAUAAAUAAUUUAAUGUAGGAAACUUCAACAGAAAAAUAAGGGCAAUGUGCAAGAGAUAAAAGAAGGGUAAAGUCUCAUAAAAAAGAUCGAACGGGUUAGUAAGGAAUACGCGUGUAUAUUAUAAUAAGCAAAAGGGGCUGUUAACUAUAACCUACGUGCCAAGAACACAGAAUGCAAUUGCUGAUUCUUAGCUUAACACAGAAUGAAAUUGCUGAUUCUUUAGCUAAGAAUGCUCGAUCUUUUCAUAGAUCUUUUUAUUUUAUUGGAUGUUCUAUUCCGAUCUAGUUAUCCAGACCACCUCAUGUUUGAGUAAUAGAAUAACCGUUUGUUGAAAAAAAAAAAAACUAUAAUUCGUUUGGGUUUAUAAAUAAACAAAAAAGUUUAACUAUGGUUAGUUUGAGUUUAUAAAUAAAGAAAGGAAGUCUUGGUUUUCGCUGUUGAAAAAAUCUCAAAAUCCACCGACUAAUAUAAAAGACCACAAGUUGUGAUUAAGCACCUUGAUUAACACAUUAACUAGGAAAUGAACAAAACCAUAUUAUUGAUGUAAUAGAUGAUAACAAAUUGUUAAUAAAAAAGAAGAAGAUGAUAACCAAAAUGCUGUGGAGUUGAACAAACAAAAAAGAGAACUCCAAGAAGAAAAAGCUUGAAAGCAUUUGAAGAAAAUGAUGUAUUGUCCUUAAUAUCAUAAUUAUCCAUGGUUAAAUUAAUAGGUGAUUACCAUCUCCAAAUAGAUGAGCAUUUAGUGGUGACAAAAAAAUAUGAUAAUAAAGUAAUAUACACAAAAGAGAUACACUAGAACAUCCAUCAAGGACUUGCAUACUCUGAAUUCUAAAGUGUCUAUAAGCCAGGUGGUCAAGAAGUUAACCAAAGACGGUUAUGGUCUAAGGAAUGUAGAGAACAAUUUUUAAUUAAAUUUAUAUUAUCAGUUUAUUUAUUCUCCCGCCCGUAUGACGGGUUUACCCUAGUAGUUAAUAUUUAAAAAUAAAAAUAGUUUUGCGCGUAGCGCCGGUUAACUUCUAAUAUAUAUAUAUAUAUAUAUAUAUAUUAUAAUGGGAAAAUUUACACUCUCCUGAGAGUAUCCACAUUAGCAUUUGUGGGUCCCACCUGAAAAAAUAUUUUUGUGUUUUAAAUGACAAAUUUUGUUGUUUAUGAUAAUUGAUUUAUUUGUGAUUUUUAUUUUAAUAUAUAGAAGUUUAAAAAAAUCCGUAGCCCAAUAUGCUAAAUCCCGAAAAUGGCCCAAAUAAGCCUUUUAGGUCUAUAAUCUUCCUCUUCAAUGGAGAUCUAGAGCUUCCAUCGGGUAAUAAUCUCAGAUGCUCUUAAUGAGGCAAAAAAUAUUCUGGCAUACUCUUACGAAUUAUGGCGUACUCUUGUCUAUUCUGAUACUCUUUAGGAGUGUGGUUAAUGUCGAAAGUGCCCCUGACCGAUUAAAAAAUAAAUUCAAUUAAUUAAUAAUUCUUCUUCUCUCUCUAUUCUCUCGAGGCUCCACUGCCCUCGAACCCGCCCUCAAUCCUCUCUCGUCCUCGUCGUGGUGUUCUUCCGAGUUCCUCGCUAUCAUCGAAUUGCUAACUCGGUUUCGUCGCUUGGAUGCUGAAUCAUUGACCUAUUGAUUCUGUUUUGCAGGGUAUGUCUCAAAUCCCAUCGUUUUAGAAGCGUCAUCCACCACUCAUAGACGAUUAACUCAAUUCACAGGGAUUCCGAUUUGGAUAUAAGAUUUCAUAUUUGUGUAUGAACUAGUCGAGGAUCUGAAAGUUUGGAUGGUCUGUUUAUUAGGAAAUUCGAUAAUCAACAACUGUAUAAUUGCAUGUCGGGAAUCAAAGCUGAUUACAAUUUGGAAUUGAAGACUCGAUUCGUAGUAAUGAAAAAUUUCUUAUUCAUUUGUGUAUAAGGAUCGGAAAGUGUGGAUGGUCUGUUUAUUAGGAAAUUCGAUAAUCAACAACUGUAUGAUUGAAUGUCAAAAUUGAAAGGACGAUUGAAUCAAAGAAAGCUGAUUACUAUUUGGUUUUCAGAGAAACAUCUAGAACUCUGAAACUUGGGGAAACUUGGUUAGAUUAUACGUGCUGAUUACUGAAAAAACUAUGCAACAUGGUAUAACGAAGUAUAACUUUAAUGGUAUAACUGUAUAACCAUGUAUAACUUUAAUGGUUUAAUUUUUUUAUAUUGCAGACAAUGUGUCUUUUUUCGACGAGCGUACACUUUGAUUAUGAUGGACAUUAUUCAAAGGCUGGAGAUGAUUAUGAAUGGAUUCCAACCGAUACUUGUUUCUAUGCUAUAUCCUUUAAGACAUCAUCAUUGAAGGAGAUCACUUAUUAAUUGUUGAAGGAGAGGAUAUGCAAGAAGAUGGGAAUAGAUCCGUUAACGAAGAAGCACAAUUUGGGUUACAUUCCAUUGGUAGUGGAACCUAAGAGGCAAUCAUAUAUUUUGGAUGAUGAAGAUGUGUUUGUUUAUCUAACAUCAGUGGAUAGAGAGCAAAGAAGAAGUAUUUUGCAUGUGGAAGACAUCCAAGAAUUGCAAAUAGUUCAAAUAACCGAGCAAUUAUCAAGAGUUGGAGAAAGCUCUUGUAGUAGGGAUUAUAGCGAGCGUGAGAGUGGAUAUGGAGAAGAAGAGAAUGUGGGCACUUGUUUGGAACACGAUGAACACCCCCAGAAGAAACAGAAGAGGAGUAGGUUGUAAACCUUUUGCUUUCAGUUUUGAUGUGAAGUAGGUUGUAAGCCUUUCGCUUUCAGUUUUGAUGUGAAGUAGGUUGUAAGCCUUUCGCUGCCAGUUUUGAUGUUUUUAUCGUAUGGGAACGCUGUGAGGUGAAAUUUGUAUUUGUGUGUUGUACAACCAAGUGAAUUUUUUUGUUUUUACUGGUAUAGCUACGAUAGGUAAACUGAGUAAUAUGAUUGUAAAUUAUAAACUUGUUAAUAAGUCAUGGAAGUAAUAAGAUAAAGUAAUAAGAUAAGAUGGUGAUUUAUUAUUAAAAUUAUGAUUUAAUCAGAAUUAUAAAAAUUUCAUUUCAUUGCUUGUUAGCAAUCAUUUAGGAAAUACACUGAGUUCUCAUACCUUUUUCGUUAAUACUCACCUCGUUACAUUUUAAAAUUUGCUAAUGGUAGGAAGUCAAGUUUAUGUGUACAUGAUCGUAUGAGAAAAUAACCAAGGAAACAUAAUAUAAUUGGUAUAACUAUAAAAUCAGUCAUUCAAGUAGAGUAUAACUAAUAUAAAUGGAAAUAAUUAAAAAGUACAACUUUGAUGUUUUCUGUAAAACUAAAAACUUGGUGAAACUUCGACCACGAAAAUCCUUGGAUAAAAUUUCCCGCCCAGCUUUUCGAAUUUUGAAUUUUGAAUUUCCCUCUUCCCAAUUUGAUAAAACCCCAAAAUCGUUUAAUCGAAGUAUUAAAGACCUCUUUUUGGGUUUUCCCCAUUCUCUAUCUUCUCCUUUCUAUCUCUUCCCUAAUUUAUCUCUCUCCCAUUCGAACUCCCCCCAACCCCGAGAGAGAAAUAGUGGAGAUGUCCGCUUCAUCUUCCACGACCAGUGGUCGGAGACGAGUACGAACUCCGGGAAUACCUAGUAAGUGUUGGUGCGGGGUGGGCAUCACCGAGCUCAUCUCCAAAACCAAUCAAAACCCAUAUCGCCGAUAUUAUCGGUGUAUCUAUGCGACGUCACUAAGGGUACAUCCGUUUAGCUUUUGUUAUUGAAGGCUUACUCGUUCUUGUUUUAAUGGUACGUUUAAUCCAUUGUAGCUUGAGAACGACAAUCACGUCUUCAAAUGGGUUGACGAAGCUUUCACCGAUGAGAUACAACAGUUGAACAACCAAGUUCGAAUGCUAGAAGAAGAAGUUCAAUUUCUCAAAGCAACAAAAAGGAGUGAAAGUGAACUCAGUGAAGGUCCCAAAAUAAUGGAGCCUAAGAUAAAGAUAUCAGGAGGUUGUGUUAUUCUUGCUGUCGUUUUAGUUCUAGGAAUUAUGAUGUACAAGAAGUAAUUCCUAAGAGACUUCCAACUACUUUCUAUUUUUUCUAAGUUUUUUGUAAGUUUCUCCUAAGUUUUGCGAAGUUGGAUAACUAUGUAGUUUGGACUAUCGAAAAAGUUUCUAUAAUUUUUACGAUGUUAGACAAUUGAGAAAGUGAAAGUAACACAAAGUCUGACCUAUUUAUACGAAAACGAAUUUCAACUUUGUCUAAGUUUUACAAAGUUGGACAAUUGAUCAAGUGAAAACACAAAUUUUUACCAGUUUAUACGAGCACGAACUUGUAGUUCAUCUAAUUUUUUCGAAGUUGGAAAUUUGAAAAAGGUAAAACCACGAUGUUUCACCAACAUUUGACAUAGUUUCACCAACAUUUAAACAAAGUUUCACCAAGUUUAAGACAAGUACGAAGAUGGAGAACAUUGAGAACAACAAGAUUUACAAAAGACCUACAGCCCCAUAUCGCUGAACAUAAGGGUCACUGCUUAGUAGCGACUGACUGAACUCCUCAACCUCCGGCAAACGCAGAUUGAACCUGAAGUCAGACAAUUCACCCUCGGUCUCAAGCCAUAGAUCUGGAGGACCAAAAUAACCUAUGUAAAUGAGUUUAGUAAACGUUUUACUCAACUAUCACUUACUCAAAAAUUUUGCUGAGAUCACAUACUCAUAAACUACACUUACUCAAAAAUUUCCAGACCCUCCACAUCUUAAGGACCACAAUCACCUGUCCACGACCCUUCAUGUUUUCAAGACCAUCCCGGAAGGCAUAAGCAUGAGUGCCAAUUGCCACACAUUUUAUCUGACUGUUACUAUUCAGAUAAAUUACAGUAUAGAUAAAUUUUGCAGUAUAGAUAAAUUUUGCUUUGAUCAUAUGUUACUUUCUACUUACAUGUUGUCCCUUAUGUAAAACACCAUCCUUGGAUUUGCAGGGUCAUCGAAAUGGGCUUCCGUGUUGAAGACCACUCCCAUUGUAUCUACCAGAUAAGUGUUACGUUUUCCUUAGUUUCAUAAAUUUAGACAAUCUAAAUCACUUAGUUUCACUUACUUAUACAUAGUUAUAUUUUUAAUACAUUAAAGCUAUACAAAGUUCCGAAUCCAAGACAUGUGAAUAUAUUUUAAUUCUAGUAGCAUUCAUACCUAUGGGAUAGUUUCGGUCCAUGUGGUCCAUGUGAGGGAUUGCAUGGAUGUUCUUGAAAUCCAUGAAAAGCCGAUUGUUCAGAGGAUCGAUGAUUUGGACUUGCGUAUUGCGCAUAGCAGAUAGAUUGAACCGAGAGUUAGUUUCCUGGAAACCUGGAUAGGAACAGUUAACUUCUACUCGAAAGAUUUCCACCCACUUUCCCUCUUGUUUCUCUAGGCCUCGAAACCUAUCAGAAUUCCCAUAAAUGGUCAUCUCCAUCUUAGUUCCCUACAUAAAUAAAGUACAAGGAUCAAGUUUUUAUUUUUCACGGUUACAUGCUAUUAGAAACUCGAGAGAUGAUGAUUUCACACGUACCUCUUCAUCUGCUAGGACAUAUUUAUAGAAAGGCCCACUGCUGGUAACAUAGGAAUAGAAAGGGUAGAUCCUGUGUAUUUUGACUCUGAAUCGCCAAGACGUGAUCUUAGGGUUAUGAGAAACUUCAGAAAGUUUAUUGUAGUGUGUCAUCUUGUUUGUUGAGAGAGGAGAUGAUGAAUCCUUUCUUUGCUUUUCUUUUUGGUGAAUUUUGCAGAGAAAUGUUAUAUUCGGACUGAAGAAGAAGAUUUAACUUACUUUCACUUAUAUUGCAGACUGUGGUGGAGUUAUAUCCCGACUGUGGUGGAGUUUAAAUGCAAUGGUAAUGAUGAUUGUAGACGGUGUAGUGUUGUGGCGUUUAAAUGCAAGUGUAAUUAUUAUUAUAAGAGACUUUUUCAUUCGAGACAUGCAGUUAUUUCGAGGAGUCCAUCAUUAUCAUUUAUUACAGGUUUUCCCCAAACUAAAUACUAACAUUUACAGUUAUUAUCUCCUAUACUGCUUGUUUCUGUCAUUAAAUAUAUCCACUACGUAUAAUAAGUUUUGAACACUGAUCAUUUCUAUCAAAAUAUAACAAGACACUAUCUAAAUUUUGUUAGGUUUUACAUAGUUUCAAAUAUAUAUACAAUCUAAAUUGUUACGUUUUUCUUAGUUUCAUUAAUUUAGACAUAGUUAUACAUAGUUAUAAAUCUUAUAAAUUCCAAGAGAUGCGACUAUAGGAGACAGAAGUCGUGUCUUCUGAACUCGUGUCUCGUCGCGCCGUCUCCCCUUAAAUGGAAGAGUUACAACUUGUAGAAUAGUUGGGGUAAUAAAUUGAGAAUUAAAUAACAUGAAAUAAAGUUACAAAAUAUUAGUAUUUUUAUUUAUUAAAUAACAUGAAAUAAAGUUACAAAAUAUCUCAUUUUCUUAACGUUUUACAUAGUUUCAUAUAUUGAGACAAUCUAAAUUUUUAAAAUUGUGCUUAGUUUCAUGAAUUUAGAUAAUCUAAAUCAGUUACUUUCACUUACUUAUACACAGUUAUAUAUCUUUAUCGAUUAGAGUUUUUCAAAGUUUCAAAUCCAACCCAUGCGCACUGAGAAGUCAUGUCUUCUGAACUCGUGUCUUCUCGAGGCGUCUAUCAAAUAACCCUUAAGUGGGGUAAUAAAUACUCAGUUUAUAUUUUUCUCUACACGUCAGUUGAACUUCCAUACUACGUGUAUUUCGGUUAGAGGAUCAUCCCCAUUAUAAAAGGGUUUAUCACCUUCUCCAAAUAAGUAAAACGAAGAUCUCUCCAUUUACUUGAUUAAACAAAUAUCUCUCCAUGUCGAACAGUAACUUGGCUUCUCUCCCUCCUUCCAUGCUUCAUAAAAUUCUCUCAAAGGUAGCAACAAGCCAUCUUUGGGACUUCGGCAGUCCAAGAAUUGCUUUCUCCGAGUUCAAUGAAAUUGGCAGAGAAGAAUACUUCUACCGAUCUGCAGAUCUCUUUAACUUGAAUGACUGGAUUGAUGAGGCUAAUGCUUUAAGGACAUUCAGGCUUAGGUGCUACCAAGCCGGUAAUCUAGAGGCUAUCUACAUGCGAGGUAUGUAUGAGUUCUUCGUCCUCCAUUUACUUGAUGAAGGAAGGAGAAAAAUCCGUCUUGCUGGUGAGAGAGGAUUGUUGUGGGCCAAGUAUGUAGAUGGAAUGCUGAACAUAGCGUUUAGUGUUGAUGCUAGAGGAUUUGUUCACAACUAUCCUAGCUUUAGUCAUGAAUUUGUUGAUCGGAUGAAUUAUAUGAUCACGACUUCGUUAUCCUCAGGCCAUUGGGGUUACGAAAAACCUGAAGUGUUUAUGUCUCUACUGGAAAGAAUAAAUCCCAAAGUCUCACAUGAUUGUUGGUGCUCCGCAGUAAUAGAACCGGUGUUUGUAGUCUCCUUAGAUGGAUCUAGAACACGGUGAACAUGCAAUCGUUGUUUCUGGCAAUGUGCAGCUUGGGACUUCUGCAAUGAAAUUCACUUGACCGCUGGUCACUGGCCAAUUGAAGAUUAGUUGUGUGUUUAUGAGUUAUGGCAUGUACUUUUUAUCUACUUUUACUAGGUUUAUGUAAAAUACAUUUCAUAUAAUAUAAUGUCUAUAGUUUUUCUCUAUAAAGUAAUCUUUAUUUAUUAUUAACAACACUGUUUCCAUAAAAGAAUAUAAUGCAAAUGUAAAAGAUACAAUCAAAACUAGUUGAACUUUGCAAAUCAAAAAGUGCGACUUAAUUCAAUUUAGAAUAACUUUGUAAUUGAUACAAUUUAUAUUAGUUGUAGUCUUAUACGCUGCACAGUUACACCAAAAUUUACAAUUACACCAACUCGUACAAAGUUGUCGAAAGUUAUGAAGAAAGAGAUCCGAAUUUUAUGGAUCGGGUCUGGAUGGUCCGCGAAAUGGUCCUGGUUGGGUUGUAAAUAUGCAAAAUUCUGUUGGUUCCGUGGUCUUUUAAUAAUUUUUCGGAUUUAAUUAAAGAUUUAUCUAUUUUCUAGUCCGGGCAGCUUCGGGCAGGAGUAUAUGAGAAUUUUUUUUCCGGGCAGGAGUACUGGAGCAAUUGAUUCGCUUCCAUCGCCUCAGACUCCUCUUAGAUAUACAAGUGACCCUUUCGUUUCCAUAAAGCAGUGAAUCUUUUUUUACCUCUACAUCUCCCCAUCUUUAUUCGGUUCAUCAUUAAUGGCUCUGACUCAUCUUAUAUGUGGGAUCAUGACGCAUCGUUUUCUUGGAAGAAAAAAGAAUCAUCGUGACUCAUAGCUUUAUGUCAUCAAUAUCAGUUAGAAACAUGAUUUUGGGAUUCUAAUCAUCUGUCAAACCAUCCGAGCAUUUAAAAUCCAAUACAAGGUUUUGGGCAAUCAUCUCUGUUCUUCUCGAUGUAGCUUCAAUGGUGAUCUACCCGGCACAAACAAUAUUUAUCUCUAUAGUCGGAUGGUGAAUCGGAGGAGAAACUCAAGUAUUGCUAUUGGAGCUACGCUUUCUGCUGAUGAUACUCAAGUGGUUUAGUCGGAGAUGCAUUGGCUCAAACCGUAAAGAAUCUUGCGUAUGUCACAGCUGUUAUGGUCAUCCCGUUAGGGUUUAGGGAUCAAUUGGCUUUCAUUGGUCUCGCGAUGCUUCUGCUGAUCUGGCUUAAUGGUUAUAUCUACAUGAAGUUCAUGGGCGUCUUGAGCGCAUAUGCAAAGGUGAGAAUGUAUAAGAAAUCGAGCCAAGUGGCUAACGAGGCGGUCAGGAGUAUAAGAACGAGAAAGUGAUGAAAGUAUAUAAGAAGAAAUCUGAAGGUCCUAAUAGAAUAAGGAAUCGUCAAGGCAUAGCAUAGUUAGUGGUACCGUUUUGUAGUUGCUUUCUUCAUCCUCUUCGCAUCUUACACCGACAGUUUAUAUGCAGAUGCAAUGCUAAUGGCAAAGCAACGCUCGAUUAUCCUUUCCGGGUUUUCCUUGCCUUCACCAUGGAAGCUAUAGCUCUUUCUCAUUCAAAUUCACUAUCUCCCUGAUUCAAGCAAAGCUACCAAUGCAGCUGCAUCCAUCGUCACAGUUAUAAAGAAAAUCUAACAUUGUUUCAAGUGAUGCAUGUGAGAGAGUGCUCGAUAAUCUUAACGGAGAUUUGAACUUUGUCAUAUCAGUUUAUCCUUCAGAUCCAGAUGUCUAGAUCUUCUGGGAUCUUUGUUUGUCUAUUUGUGCCAGAAAGGUUAUACCUUGAUCUUAAACACGUUUUCAGUUUGGUCGAAUGAAAACCAAAUAUUUCAGUAAGAUACAUGCAAAUUAGUUCAGAUCAAAUAUGAUUUAAUAUUUUCACUAUUGCAUCAAAUACUGUCUUGAUCUGCCCCUUUGUUUUACUCUCUGUUUCAAACAAUAACUUUGGUUAGAAAGAGCCCAGGCGGGAAAUCUACUGUAAUUGCACUGCUGCAGAAGUCUUUCGAUCCUGAUCAUGUCAGAUCAGUCUUGCGGAGUAGAGAGUAAGACCUCCAGCCGAAAUGGGUAAGGCAGAAAACCUGGCUGGUCAGCGAAGAAUCGGUUUUGUUUUAUAUCCGAUCAGUGCAAACAUUUCUUAUGGAAAAGGAGACGCUUCUGAAACCAAUAUCGCAGAUAAGCUAUCUAACGCUCAUGGAUUCAUCCGUGGACAUCAACAGGGAUAUUAUACAGUUGGUGGGUGUAAGAGUUCAAUUAUCAGGUGGGCUAAAGAAGAGUAGCCAGAGAAAUUGUUAAAGACCCAAUGGUGUUGCUCUGAUGAAGCAACAAGUGCUCUAGAUGCCGAGUCAUAGCCAUAGCCAGAACAAUUUUUAAAGAUGGUGUUGUUGCUGAAUGUUUCAGAAUAGGUGGGAGCUUGUGCUGGCGGUGCUACUUAUUUUGGUUCCAACCGCUGCAUGAAAAUGGAACCAUGGACCAAGGUUAAUCUAGCAUUCGAGAUAUUUUUAGCUGUCUUUUACAAGAUUCAUGGAUUCACAAAAAACUAAUUUGCAAACUACACAACUGUUUUUAUCUUCAUGUGUUAAUUGCCGUUCUUAUUUCCCUAUUUGACUAUAAAACAUUGAAACUGGAGGCCGAUAGUCAACAUUCUUCUUUCACUAUUAAACUUCAACUGCUUAUACCUAUCAACUCAUCAAUGAUUUACAAAUUACAAUUGUCAUGUUCAGGACUGGUCAUGGUAUAUGCAGGCCCUUAUUGCCAUAGAUUGAUUGCUCACCAUUUCAGGUUACAAGGAACUCAGUAUCAUCUUCAUUCAGAGCUUUGGGUGGUCCUAGAAAUCCAAUUCAAAGAAGGGUUGAAGAAACAAUAUAACAAAAAGUACAAAACAAAUUUUCUCACUCAAGAAAAAAAAUCAAAGUUGUUGCAAACUAUCGAUUACAGCUUGAGAAAUAACUAAAAAGGUAACCAGUUCUCACCAAUAUAGCUAAACCCAAAUUUAAUAUAUCUAUUACUCCAUAUAAAAAACACAAUCAAAUUUAAUAUAUCUUCCCGCUACAAGAAACCGGCAAGAUCACCACCAACUGUUCAGUUACGUUCUUUAUUGAGGCAGUCCCGGUGAAGAUCUAAACCGUACAAUUUUUUUUUUCCGGGAAAAACAUUUACCACUACAUUUUUCGGCCGUACAGGCCCAACAAACAAUUAAAUCAAACGUAUUGAUUUUCAUUACAAUUUUUCUUUUAAAAAAAACUAUUUCCAAGACCGGGAAAAAAAUCUUAUAUAUUAAAAUAGAAGUUAUGAGUUCUCAUUUAUGUGUGAUUUAAAAAAAAAAAUAGACUAUCUACUAGAGUUGGUCACAUUACAUUUUCAAUCAUUAGUAAUCUUUAUAUUAAAUAAAAGACAUUAAUAAAAAAUAUUUUCUAGAGACAUAUAAAUCUAUAAAUCUCUAUGCGCUUAGAUAUAACUCUCUAUAACUCACGAGAGUUUGUGGUUUUCAUGUAAAGUUUGAAAUGAACAGACGUCUUCCCAGAUUAUUUGUUUAAUCAUUGUGUUUUUGUAGUGUUGUGUUUGCAGACAAUAUUUACUAAAGAUUAUUUGAUUGUAAGCUCUGAACAUAUGUUAAUAAUUUACUGAACACAUUGAUUAGUGUGGAGAAGAUGAAGUUGGUCCAUUGUUAACGUCCAUUUAUGUUUUUGAAGUCAAUGAAAGCAGAAGACAAUAUUAAAAUAAUGGUCGCUUGAUACAAUUACGUUCAUUUAGUUGUCUUACCAUUUACUAAAGAUUAUUGGAUUGUAAGCUCUGAAACUAUGUUAAUAAUUUACUGAAGACAUUGAUGCAUUUGGAGAAGAUGAAGUUGGUCCAUUGUUAACGUCUAUAAGAAAUUUAGAAUAUCUACAUUCAGUUGCAACAAUAGAUAUCUACAUCUAUUCUGUUAACAAUUCAAAUUAUAUAAAGAUUAAUUCCUAUUCUGAUUAUAACUAAUCAAAGCAAUAUCUACUUUCAAAGAAUAUAUAAUUUUCGUGAGUGUACUAACAUAUAGGAUAUUCUAAGCAUUUAUUUUAAAGCUUGGAGAUCAAGCUCACAUAUUUAUUGUUGCCCUGACCUUCUCAAUUUGUUUCCUAUAUUUUCGAAACAGAAUCACGUAAAUUUUUUUUAUUUUCCAUAACAACCUAAACAAUAUCAUCGAUCUAAUAUACUUGAUACCAGAUUUACAAUGAAUAUAUCAAUAUCUACAAUAUAGGUAACUAUAACAACCGAUUCUUAAUAUCCUAUAUCUUAUAUAUUAAAACAGAAAUCACAAACUUGAUUCAUGUGUGAUUUUUAAAAAAAUGAACCUAAUAAAUCUAUUUCUAGAAAGUCAUGUUACAUUUAAUAUCUAAUCUUAUCAUUUAAAUUUUGGG
This is a long non-coding RNA of Brassica napus (rape), 14174 nucleotides long. RefSeq lists it as uncharacterized. The record is from RefSeq and is a predicted model, not a curated record. The transcript is spliced from 8 exons. Lineage: Eukaryota; Viridiplantae; Streptophyta; Magnoliopsida; Brassicales; Brassicaceae.